Molecule: long non-coding RNA, 222 nt
Filed under: Bos taurus (domestic cattle)
Lineage: Eukaryota; Metazoa; Chordata; Mammalia; Artiodactyla; Bovidae
Description: long non-coding RNA NONBTAT001591
Source: RNAcentral
GAUUAUCCAACGCUUUCACCGAUUUUUACCAAGAUGAGUUUUUUAACCCAGAGCUCAGCCUUCAUCUUCUCAUCACAUACACACAGGUAAGCGGUCACACUGCAAUUAUCAUGAACACUAAAUUCUAAUGAUAUUUAAAAUCUUUUCCACACAGGAGUUAAUGUUAAUUCAUAGACUGAAUUUUGUGGGUUUUCUGUGUUUAGAGAGGUUUUUAAAUUAAUC